ACAACUAAUUUCCCUCCCAAAUGAAGGGUUUUGUCUAUCACUCGGGUGUUUCAAUAGCAACCGUGUAAUUAAGGUAGCGUGCGCCUCUCCAGUUUGCGAGGCAGGCUGUUUGCGUUAACAUGUUGGGGAAGCAAAACAUGGCUUGGGCUGCUUCCUGGGUCCAAGGAGGGGAAAGCAAAGAGUCAAAGAAACCAUCUCCACAUAGAGGCUUGGCUCCUGCAGUGAUGAUGUCAUCUGGAAACUAUCGGGAGCUCCCGCAGCCGGGUGGGUCUCUGCUGCAUCCCCGGGGCCUCCGCUGUGCCUGGGGCAUCGCUGCCCUCCUUGAGACGUGUUCGAUGAGUGGACGGAGCCUUAGAGAUCCCUGGCUUGGGCUGCUGAGCGGGACGUCUGCAGUCCUCGAAGAGCCCAGAUGUUGCACCAAACGCUCUGCUCCGCCGCUUUGCAGACGUCAGCCCACUGCUCUCUGGAUGGUUCUGAGGCCGCUGCUUGCAGCCAGGAUGGGUCUCAGUGUCAGAGGGGUUCGGACAGACCUGCUGGCAAAGCCUCCUUUUCCUGCGGGCGUUGGGCUGAUGCCCUCGGAUUUUUUUUUUUUUUAACCAGACUAACUGGUUUGCUCAGGAGAAGAACACAACAAAUAGAUGUAUUCUUCCCUGGUCCCAAUAAUCAUUCAGUAUCACUAUGAACUUAUAGGUUCUUUCUUUCUUUUUUUUUUUUAACUCAGUGUGUUCAUAUUUCUUUCCACACAUUUUUUAUAGCCAAAUAUUUUUACGUUUGUCUAAUAGAAGCUCUUUCAUCAUAGCUUUUUCUGCCUUUCUAUUUGUUCCCUUCUUCCUGUGAGUACUUCUCAGCUUUCUGGUAUAAAAUACCUGCCCAGAACGUUCAGGAAAGGUCAACAUCCUAAGAGACGAGUGAUGGCACACUGUUCUAUAUUAAGGAGAAUGAAAGGAUCAGGAGAGCUAAAUGCCUGCCACGUGUGAUCCUGAGAUGAAGAAAGGAAAGCACGAAAUCCAGACUGUAUGUUAGACUGUGUUACUGUGUUGGCAUUGACUAGCAUGGAUGUGAAAACGGGACCGACAUUCUGUAGGAAAAUGUCUUUUUCCUUAGGAGACACACACUGCAGGUUUUAGAAAUGAAAUCUCAUGAUCUUUACACCAUCAUCUCAAGUGAUUUAGCCAGAAAAGGAAAACCACACACACACACACACACACACACACGCACGCACUAGCGCCUGUGGACGGGGUGACCACAUGUGGCCUGGCUUGGGGUUGUCAGCUGGAGAGUCUAGGUGAAGGAUAUAAGGAUGUUCACUGUGCUACUCUGAACUUUUCAUUCGGGUGGACAUUUACCAAAAAAGUUGGGAAAAAUAAAAUAAAACAAGGCAAAAAGAU
Long non-coding RNA from Nyctereutes procyonoides (raccoon dog), 1388 nucleotides. RefSeq lists it as uncharacterized. NCBI's taxonomy places the organism in Eukaryota, Metazoa, Chordata, Mammalia, Carnivora, Canidae. The record is from RefSeq and is a predicted model, not a curated record. The transcript is spliced from 2 exons.